UUCAAUUUCUUAUAUAGUCAUGUGAGCACAUAAAGGUGAAAGAUGUAGGUAUAGAUAUAGAUAUAACUGGUUUCAUUUGACUUUGAAGAUGAUUCAUGCAUUUACUAGUUUUUAUUUUUUUAUUUUUUAUUUUAUUUUAAUUCUGAUUUCCAAAUUCCAAGUUGGGAAAUUGUGAUGGCAGGUUUUGGUGGUUAGACAAGACCUGAAGAUGAAAGUAUGAAAGAUUGCGUCCCAAUGUGCUCAUGCUGCUACUGGGAUGUAUUCAGAACUGAUGCAAAGUUAUGACAAUGCUAAACACAGGAUUACUUCAUUUAUUCAAGCCCUGAAAUUUACUUUGAUUCUAAUAGUUUCUUUCCUCUCUCAUUCUCUUUAAUAAUUAACAUCCUUAAUGGCAAAAACAAUCUUUUGAGGAGGAACCAAACUUUGUUGCUUGCUGUAGCUGUUCAAAAUAAAGAUUGACAAAAUGGGAAAGAAAAAAAAAGGUUUAAAAAUCUAAGUGGCAUAAUGAAAUGGCAUAAUGAAAUAAUCUAAGUGGCACUGCACUGCACGAAACAAUCUAAGUGGCAUAAUGAAAUAUGUUUCCUUUCAUAAUAUCUCUAACUAAUCAAGUUUGUU
Camellia sinensis is the source of this 615-nucleotide long non-coding RNA. RefSeq lists it as uncharacterized. The record is from RefSeq and is a predicted model, not a curated record. NCBI's taxonomy places the organism in Eukaryota, Viridiplantae, Streptophyta, Magnoliopsida, Ericales, Theaceae.